Molecule: ribosomal RNA, 462 nt
Filed under: uncultured bacterium
Lineage: Bacteria
Description: bacterial SSU rRNA
Rfam family: Bacterial small subunit ribosomal RNA
Source: RNAcentral
UUCCAGACUCCUACGGGAGGCAGCAGUGGGGAAUAUUGCACAAUGGGGGGAACCCUGAUGCAGCGACGCCGCGUGGGUGAAGGAGCACCUCGGUGCGUAAAGCCCUAUCGGCAGGGAAGAAAAGCGAACAGGUUCGCCUGGACGGUACCUGACUAAGAAGCCCCGGCUCACUACGUGCCAGCAGCCGCGGUAAUACGUAGGGGGCAAGCGUUAUCCGGAUUUACUGGGUGUAAAGGGAGCGUAGACGGCAGUGCAAGUCUGAAGUGAAAGGCGGGGGCCCAACCCCCGGACUGCUUUGGAAACUGUGCUGCUGGAGUGCAGGAGAGGCAAGUGGAAUUCCUAGUGUAGCGGUGAAAUGCGUAGAUAUUAGGAGGAACACCAGUGGCGAAGGCGGCUUGCUGGACUGUAACUGACGUUGAGGCUCGAAAGCGUGGGGAGCAAACAGGAUUAGAUACCCUUGUA